Molecule: long non-coding RNA, 1863 nt
Organism: Chlorocebus sabaeus (green monkey)
Lineage: Eukaryota; Metazoa; Chordata; Mammalia; Primates; Cercopithecidae
Source: RefSeq, a predicted model, not a curated record
ACUUCAGGACCACACUACAGCUUCCUCACUCUGAGAACAAAUAACUGCCUGCAAUGUCUUUGUAUCAGCUUGAGUUGGACCUGUUUAAGUUAAAUUUCCUAAAAGCAGGGACUGAGACAAGGAUUUGUGUCCAAGUGAUUUAUUGAGGCAGUGUUCUCAGAAGAAAUCUAUAAAGGAGUAAGAGAAUAGGACAGAGGUGAGGCAGAAACUACACAAGGAUGAGACCUUCAGGUGAAAUCUUGCCUCAACCUGAUCUCAUAGGGAGCUCUGGAGCAUAAAUUGCACCUUGGAUCUGUCCUGUUUUGCUGUAAGAGAGCAGGGUUUUGUAAACUCCCUCUCAUCCAGCCCCAACCAGCAGUGAUGACUACAUGUUGCUCUGGCAUUAAUCAUGGAAGUGGGUGUGAUUCUCAGACAUCCCCAGGUAAGGUGGCUGCAGUCACCUGAGAACAGUACUCAAAAGAAGGCAGCUACUGGGAACCACUAGCCACAGCACCCACAGCACCUGGACAUGAGCAAACCAGACUGGUAAGGUGGAGCCUAGGGCAUCUGAAAAGGGCACCAUUAUCAUUUGCUAUGUCCCAAAAAUCAGACUGUGUACAGAGAUGGCCUUGACAUUAUCUUUCACUUCCAAAGCUACCCAAGGAUGAGUAAGCGACCCAGUCAUGGGCUGACAAGAGCGUGUGCAACAGCUUCGCUCUCCCAUAAAGAGAUACUUAAUAAGCAUGUUCAUUAUUAAGAGAGUCAUGAAUUUGAAAUUACCGUGCCAGACAGACUCUCAUCUCUGCUCUUCUUCAUAUCCAGGUAACUACACCUGGCUAAGGUCAUUCUGACCCUGAUAUGCCAUCCUAAUUGCUAGGAUGACAACAGAGGGCUUUAGAUGGGAAAUUCAGUGAAAAGUAGGAUGAAUUUUGCCUUUUGGCAGCCACAAAGGAUUAGUUUCCAUGGAAGGGCUGCGCUGAGGGAUGAUGUUUUGAGAGAAUGCCUUGAAUUGAUACCUCAAAGGGCUUCUUUCGAAGGGAUGAUUUAUACAUCUCAAGACAAAGAGGAUUUAUAUUAAAGAAAAUGGAUUCCUUUUCUGAACCGUUUUGAGGAAGAUGGAUAGCUUCCUGUAAACUGCAGUUCUGUGUCUGAGAGCUGAGUGUUUCCGGAAAAUUACUAAGGUGCAAGAAUCUACAAAGCAACAUCAGAGGCCCAGAAGUGAAUUACAGACUGCCCCUCAGAAGAGAGUGAUUGAAUUAUGAAAUGUGGAUACUCCAUUUGAAGUGUUGAAAGCAGUGCAAAGAUCUAAAGAGGACACUUCAGCAGCAGAAUUGAGAAAAUUCUUUUCAUCACUUUUUUAAAUAUAUCCCCCCAACCAAAAAAGAAAGAAAGAAAGAAAAAAAAAAAAAAAACCUGUUGGUUUGGUAUCCAGACCAAAUGAAAUGUUAAACGGAAAAAUGUGAUGAAUUUUUCUCCAGGUGAUAUAAAGUACAAUGGCAAAUAACACUUUUUUUUUUUUUUUUUUUUUUUUUUUUGCUGAAUACACAAUAUUUUUUAUUUACCUGAGGUGAAAGUGGGGUCCAGAGGCUAUUGCAAGACUGGCAACUGUGUCCAUUCUACACCAGAAAUUCCUGAGGACGAGAAAAGAGGGUAUGAACAGAGUCACAAACAGCAUGUGACCCACAAAGGUGGGUCACAAUCAGCCUUUUGAGAAUUCCUUGUGUCAAGCUGUCAUCAGUGACAUGGAAAUGAAGGAGCAAUAUCAACGUUUUACGUAUCUUUUUCUCUGUCUCUCCAAACCAAAAGUUAUAUUGGAAGUGGUAGUAAAUACAGGACACAUGUCCCAUUGCCCAUCCUGCAAUAAAGUUUCUACUUUGUAAUAAA